This 1087-nucleotide ribosomal RNA is filed under the name Indian Sesame phyllody phytoplasma. RNAcentral's name for it is "bacterial SSU rRNA". It matches the Rfam family "Bacterial small subunit ribosomal RNA", at positions 224 to 1318 of the family's 1533-position model. The record is from RNAcentral. Lineage: Bacteria; Bacillati; Mycoplasmatota; Mollicutes; Acholeplasmatales; Acholeplasmataceae.
GGGCGGCUUGCGCCAUAUUAGUUAGUUGGUAGGGUAAUGGCCUACCAAGACGAUGAUGUGUAGCUGGACUGAGAGGUUGAACAGCCACAUUGGGACUGAGACACGGCCCAAACUCCUACGGGAGGCAGCAGUAGGGAAUUUUCGGCAAUGGAGGAAACUCUGACCGAGCAACGCCGCGUGAAUGACGAAGUACUUCGGUAUGUAAAGUUCUUUUAUCAAGGAAGAAAAGCAAAUGGCGAACCAUUUGUUUGCCGGUACUUGAUGAAUAAGCCCCGGCUAAUUAUGUGCCAGCAGCCGCGGUAAGACAUAAGGGGCAAGUGUUAUCCGGAAUUAUUGGGCGUAAAGGGUGCGUAGGCGGUCUAGUAAGUCAGUGGUGUAAUGGCAACGCUUAACGUUGUCCGGCUAUUGAAACUGCUAAACUUGAGUUAGAUAGAGGCGAGUGGAAUUCCAUGUGUAGCGGUAAAAUGCGUAAAUAUAUGGAGGAACACCAGAGGCGUAGGCGGCUCGCUGGGUCUUAACUGACGCUGAGGCACGAAAGCGUGGGGAGCAAACAGGAUUAGAUACCCUGGUAGUCCACGCCGUAAACGAUGAGUACUAAGUGUCGGGUUAAACCGGUACUGAAGUUAACACAUUAAGUACUCCGCCUGAGUAGUACGUACGCAAGUAUGAAACUUAAAGGAAUUGACGGGACUCCGCACAAGCGGUGGAUCAUGUUGUUUAAUUCGAAGAUACCCGAAAAACCUUACCAGGUCUUGACAUGUUUUUGCAAAAUGAUAGUAAUAUCGUGGAGGUUACCAGAAACACAGGUGGUGCAUGGUUGUCGUCAGCUCGUGUCGUGAGAUGUUAGGUUAAGUCCUAAAACGAGCGAAACCCUUAUCGUUAGUUGCCAGCACGUUAUGGUGGGGACUUUAACGAGACUGCCAAUGAUAAAUUGGAGGAAGGUGAGGAUCACGUCAAAUCAGCAUGCCCCUUAUGACCUGGGCUACAAACGUGAUACAAUGGCUGUUACAAAGGGUAGCUGAAACGCAAGUUCUUGGCCAAUCCCCAAAAACAGUCCCAGUCCGGAUUGAAGUCUGCAACUCGACUU